UAGGGAAUCUUCGGCAAUGGGGGGAACCCUGACCGAGCAACGCCGCGUGAGUGAAGAAGGUUUUCGGAUCGUAAAGCUCUGUUGUUAAGGAAGAACGAGUGUGAGAAUGGAAAGUUCAUACUGUGACGGUACUUAACCAGAAAGGGACGGCUAACUACGUGCCAGCAGCCGCGGUAAUACGUAGGUCCCGAGCGUUGUCCGGAUUUAUUGGGCGUAAAGCGAGCGCAGGCGGUUAGAUAAGUCUGAAGUUAAAGGCAGUGGCUCAACCAUUGUAGGCUUUGGAAACUGUUUAACUUGAGUGCAGAAGGGGAGAGUGGAAUUCCAUGUGUAGCGGUGAAAUGCGUAGAUAUAUGGAGGAACACCGGUGGCGAAAGCAGCUCUCUGGUCUGUAACUGACGCUGAGGCUCGAAAGCGUGGGGAGCGAACAGG
This 429-nucleotide ribosomal RNA is filed under the name Bacteroidota bacterium. RNAcentral's name for it is "Bacteroidetes bacterium partial 16S ribosomal RNA". It matches the Rfam family "Bacterial small subunit ribosomal RNA", at positions 355 to 776 of the family's 1533-position model. The record is from RNAcentral. Lineage: Bacteria; Pseudomonadati; Bacteroidota.